UUGCUCUUAUGCAUCUGAGAUACUACUCCACACCCGUAAAGAAUUUUGAACAAAGUUUGGGUCAAAUAUUGGAAAUAUAAAUCAUAAAUCUAUACCUAUCUAUAAAGAGAAAAAAAUUCAGUCUGCCAAUAUUUUUCUGCCGGCCCUGUCCGUCUUCCCUUCCGUGCCCUGUCCCGUUGCCAGAAACCUCCGUCCGUUUAAAGCUGGUAAGAAAGAAAAGGAAAAUAGAAUGUUUUCUAGAUUCCCAAUGAAAAAGUUCUUUUACCGUCGCCAGGAAGGAUCGCUACCUCCGGA
RNAcentral lists this long non-coding RNA (294 nucleotides) under Sorghum bicolor (sorghum). RNAcentral's name for it is "long non-coding RNA (SBIC_LNC007277)". The record is from RNAcentral. Lineage: Eukaryota; Viridiplantae; Streptophyta; Magnoliopsida; Poales; Poaceae.